GACGAGCCACACAAACGUUAUUCGGAAUUACUGGGCUUAAAGGGUGCGUAGGCUGCGCGGAAAGUUGGGUGUGAAAUCCCUCGGCUCAACCGAGGAACUGCGCCCAAAACUACCGUGCUCGAGGAAGAUAGAGGUAAGCGGAACUUACGGUGGAGCGGUGAAAUGCGUUGAUAUCGUAAGGAACACCUGUGGCGAAAGCGGUUUACUGGGUCUUUUCCGACGCUCAUGCACGAAAGCGUGGGGAGCAAACAGG
RNAcentral lists this ribosomal RNA (253 nucleotides) under uncultured bacterium. RNAcentral describes it as "partial 16S ribosomal RNA". It matches the Rfam family "Bacterial small subunit ribosomal RNA", at positions 524 to 776 of the family's 1533-position model. The record is from RNAcentral.